AUUGAACGCUGGCGGAAUGCUUUACACAUGCAAGUCGAACGGCAGCACGGACUUCGGUCUGGUGGCGAGUGGCGAACGGGUGAGUAAUACAUCGGAACGUGCCCGGACGUGGGGGAUAACUACUCGAAAGAGUGGCUAAUACCGCAUACGAUCCAAGGAUGAAAGCGGGGGAGUCGCAAGACCUCGCGCGUUUGGAGCGGCCGAUGGCAGAUUAGGUAGUUGGUGAGGUAAAGGACUUACCAAGCCUGCGAUCUGUAGCUGGUCUGAGAGGAUGAUCAGCCACACUGGGACUGAGACACGGCCCAGACUCCUACGGGAGGCAGCAGUGGGGGAAUUUU
This 338-nucleotide ribosomal RNA is filed under the name uncultured bacterium. RNAcentral describes it as "bacterial SSU rRNA". It matches the Rfam family "Bacterial small subunit ribosomal RNA", at positions 30 to 366 of the family's 1533-position model. The record is from RNAcentral.